AUGGCGACGGCGAGGGGCACCGAGCGGCGGCGGCAGGGCGGGGAUCGCACCCGGGCCAGGCUGCGAGAGAGGAUCAAGUACCGCCACGACAGGCUCGUCCAGGACGCCUGGGAGGUCUCCGAGCUCUUCGCGCCCCACCUCGCCAUCCUCGCCUUCCCCGCAGUUGGCAAACCCCUCCUCUUCGGCAACCCCACCCUCGACUCCGUCCUCCGCAGUGUCUUCCUCGACGCCGACGCCGGGACCGAGACGGCGGACGAGGCCGCGGCGCGGGUGGCGGCGGUGAGGCGUGAGGCGGGGUGGAUCGAGGCGCAGGUCUCGCACGAGCAGGCGCGGCUGCGCGCCGUCGCGGAGAAGGUCAAGGCGGCGCAGGAGGAACAGGGGAGGGCGCACUGGUGGGAGGUGGAUGUGGACGCGCUCCGGGAGGCAGAGCUCCCCGAGUUCGCCACGGCGCUCGAUGCUCUCAGGGCCGACGUUCUGCGGCGCCUCGCCAAGCUGGCCGAAGCCCGGAAGCCACCGCGGCGGCAGUGGUAG
RNAcentral lists this ribosomal RNA (531 nucleotides) under Triticum aestivum (bread wheat). RNAcentral's name for it is "partial small subunit ribosomal RNA". The record is from RNAcentral. Lineage: Eukaryota; Viridiplantae; Streptophyta; Magnoliopsida; Poales; Poaceae.